GCCCCAUUACAUAUUUUUGAUGUAACAUGGUACUGAAACAUGGUUAAAAUGUGUAUCCGUCCGGGUCCAAUCAGGAAAACAGAAGCCACUGUAGGUGUUCCAACAAAAGGGACUUAAUGCAGGGAAUUGGUUGCACAGGAGACGGAGGAGCUGAGAAGCCAGGAGUCAGCCCAGUGACCUGCAAAGGCAGGAAGUCACUGCCGUCGCUAGGCUGGAGGGACGAAUGGAGGAGGCCGUGGUACCAGAACGAGAGGUGAGGGCUCCCCGAGCCUCAGCAGAGUGUUUCAGCGGAAGCCGCAGACGCAGGAGAGUCAGAGACCCAGAGAAAAGACCUCGGGAGAAAGAGCUGGGGAAACACCCCGGGCGCUCCCUUCCUCCCACCCUCGGAUUCCAACCGGCACCUCCCAUUGGCUGGCCCUGGGUGGAAGCCCGCUGAUUGGACAGCCCGGCAAAUACGGUUUACACACCAGGGCCGGAAGGAGCAGGCGCCCGCGGAGCCCCUGAGUCUGGGGCGCUGCCGGGCGCCCAGUAAACGCUCAAUAAAUGCUUGUUUGCAUUUCUUUCAGGAGCACCUGGGGUUGGUGCUCCCAGUCUCACGAGCGCGUUCUGCGUGAGCCCAGGCCCGCAGUUUUAAGGAUGAGGAUAUUUGGUACUAACUGAAGGAACCCUCACGAAACGGACAAGUGGCUUAACAGUCUUCCUGCAGAGAAGUGGCAGGCGGAAGAUAAUUCUAGUAACAUGAGUGCGGGGGAGCCGCGAGAAGACAGCUGAGUAAUACAGAAGGGCAUGUGCAGAAUUUACAAGCUAGGAACUAUUCAUAUCAUGGGGUCUGGUGCUCAAAACUUAUUUUUAUUGUCUUCCAGAAGUGUCUGGAACGCAUCAUGGGGUCUGGUGCUCAAAACUUAUUUUCGUUGUCACGGGGUAUGAUCAGAAGUGUCCGGAGCACUCUGGUUUGGCGGGCCUUCGAGGAGAGCGGGGGUCACAGAGCCCGGUCCUCGUGGGACUGUGUUAGAGCGGGUUCCCAACUGGUAGCACACCUUUAGGCAAACACAGCACGAUUUUGGCUGGGACACAGUUCAGCUUUUUGAAAAAAAAAGAUUUUUUGUUGUUGUUGUUGAAUAGUUACACGUGUAUCGUAAUGUGUACUCGAGAAAAAUAAAAUAGCACGUAUGUCUCUGGGCAAUCGUGGUGGGAAAAAAGUGUCCCCAGAGACCUGCAUACUCCCCGUGGGUCCAGCAGUCAUCCAUGAAUUCUCGUCAAGUGAUGGCUUCAGCUCCGUGCGAGCAAAUAUUCAGAGGAAUGAAUUUAGUUAGAAUACGAAAGUGGUUUUUAUGACUGCCUCUUGUUUAUGGAGACCUUCUGUGUAAGAGAAGGUGUUAAGACACUCACCACCAACCCCCCCCCCCCCCAAGGUUCAGAGGCUGAGAGGGGAGGGAGGACCAGUGGGAGAAGGAGGAUUUUAGCUGGAUCUGCAACCUUUUAUUUCUGUAAAAAGAGAGAUCUGACGCACAUUUGGCAAAAUGUGAAUACGUGUGUCACCCGAGCCGGUUGGAUACACAAUCUGUUACAUUAUUAACUUUGCCCUUUGAUUGUUUGAAAUAGUUUGCGGUUUUCAAGAUAUUGAGAAAGUGAGUUUGGAACGGGGAUGGUGUAAUAACUGUGGGAGUCUGGUUUGUUAUUUGAAAUAUGUUUCCCCACGCGGGGCAUGCUGGACAUGUUAGAAGGGUCUGAAUCACAUCGUCUGUACGCGUGAGUUCAAAAUAUACCGUACAAGCGUAGCAGGCUCUGUCUGUCACCUCUGUGAUCAGCGCUAAGGCCUCGGGAACACCCUCAAAAAAGAUCACCUCCUCUCAACCAAAACAAGGCCACCUGGAGGCUCUCCCAACCUCCCUUGGAAACCUGUGACUACUCAGGCCCUUUACUGCCGUUAGGAGUAAGGAAAAUAUUUGACAGAGAACCCCAGUAAUGGGGCUUAAAAAAAACCAAAGGUUGACUUCUCAGAGGUAAACAAAGUGAGGAGGGACUCCUGGCUUUCAUCUUGUGGUCUAAGAGGCUGCCGGGGCUCCGGCCAUCUCAUCUGCCUUCCAACCAGCAGAAAGGAGGAAUAAACGACUUCCAUUUACAGCAGCCCGUGCCGCGUGGUUUAGCCACACCUGUCUGCAAGGGAGCCUGGAAAAUGUCACCCAUUCUCGCCAGCUGUGUGCCCAGCUAAAAAUCAGGGUUUCUGUUACUGAGGAAGAGGGGCCAUUAGGUACGGGGGAACAACUCGAGAAGUCUUUGCCACGGGGCUGUGGGGGGUGGAGGAAAGGUCCGGGCCCGAGGCCGUGUCCCUGCUUCCUCCACUCCCGGAGCUCAGGUGAGGACCUGGGGGCCGUAGCCACAGAGCGCCAUCGUGGCGACCCUGCCUUGCCCGCCACACGGUGCUUUGCUAAGUCCUUCGGUUGGGUUUUGCUCGGUGACCCCGGGCGGAUGGAGCUGAUGCAGGGAUUUUCCAAUAGAAACAAAAGAAUUUUUUUUUUUUUACACCUGAGUCACAAUAGUAAGUAGUCAUUAUAUUAAACAGAAAGGAGAAAAUUGAAACGUGGAAAUCUAGAAGCUUUACCCCAAGUUUCACCAUCCAAAGGCAAUCAGUGCCCUUAACCUGUGGUAACCCGUGGGGAUUUUUCCUUCUAGACUUCUCUCUCUCUCUCUAAUUGCUACGUUUCUUUUUAGCCUGGUAAUAAUCAUACGGUGUAUUAUGCGUUUUAUUUGGUUUCUUCGUUUAGCCGUGUCACAUAAGAGCUUUGCUGCCUCCUUGAAACCUCGUCUUUUAUGUAAUUAAAUGUAUUUGUUGAUUCAUCUUUUUAAAACGAUAUGUAUUUUUGAGAGACGGAGAGCGCGCGUGCACGCGUGAGCCGGGGAGGGACAGCGAGAGGGGGACAGGGAAUCGGAAGCCGGCUCAGCGGCGAGCCCAACGAUCCGGGGCCCAGAUUCACAAACCGAGAGAUCGUGGCCCGAGCCCAGGUCGGACGCUCAACUGACUGAGCCACCCAGGCCACCCCCCCCCCUCCCCUGCAGCUCUGUUUGAAAUGACUGCCGUCUGUCCCAGCUGGCGUCUGUCUCUUGGUUUGGUGGGGUCCCGGGGACAGUCCUCUGGCUUUUUCCCCCUUCCUUAGUCUAUCAGACUCUCAUUUAAGCCUUUUGCCUCAGGGAAGGCGUAUGGCCGGGAUAGCCUCCGAGUCACUUUCUGGAGCUUUGGGAGCCCUUACAGCCCCGGUUACCAAAGUGGGGUGUGCCCAGGGGGUGGCCAGGAGGAUGCACUGGGGACUCGGGAGAUUAUCCCGGGCAGAUCUCCAACACUGGCCCGCUGUUGUCCGUUCGCACAACCUAUUCCAAUCCUCUCUCUCUUGCUUUCCCCUAUCAAGCGCUGGAAAGCGAAAAGUUCCCCUUUCCAGACCUCCGGGCAGCAACCGUGGCCGUGGGGCUCACUUCCGGCUCGUGAGAGCGUUACUCCCGAGAGUGAAACGAGGAAGCCGGCCGCCAACGGAGAGAUGGCUUCUAGAGGAGGCCUGCGUUCCUUCGACCACUGCUCUUCCUCCGCCUUUAGGACUGGCUCGUCCGUGUUUGGGGGGAGCCGCCCCUCUCCUGUCUUCGUCCACGCACUUCUUGCGGAUCUGAGCAUUCUCCUGUCCUCUCCCCCUCGAGGAUGAGUUGGAGGCGCUCAAGCCUGGCUCAUCAGAGUGGCUCGUGACCUUGGCCAGGCCAACGAGAAGAGCUUGGCCUAGGAUUUGGGGAGGGCUCUUUUCCUGCGAGGUGGCGACACCAAUGGAAUGAAACUCUGGAGCGGCUGGCGGGCCUCCUUCCGCCAAGGACGAGGACCUUGCUUGAGAGUAAAGUCCGCGCAGAAGAAAGCAGACUAAGAACCAGAGAAGGGCCGAUCGCUAUCGACCUUGAGACCUGGAUCCAGCUGUACCUGAAGCUAGCGAAUAGGUCCUGACGUUUUCAGACGCUGAGAUCAUAAAUCCCCCUUCUGGCUUGAGCCACCUCACACUGAGUUUGUGGUUCUCGUGACCCGGAGCCCUGACCGGUCCUCCCUUCUCCGAUCUUGAACACCCAGCUCGAGACUGCAGAACGAACGCGCCAAAUUCCCGUCAGCCUCCCUUGCUUCCCUUCCUCUCCCCUCUCCCCCUCUUCCCCUGCCAGCCAUGCUAUUGGGCGAUACAUCCUAAUGUAUAUUUAACAGUGGCUCAAAAUCAAAUUAAUUUAGAUUGGUUAAUAAACUGUAACAUCCGUUUCUAAAUCAA
Felis catus (domestic cat) is the source of this 4283-nucleotide long non-coding RNA. RefSeq lists it as uncharacterized. The record is from RefSeq and is a predicted model, not a curated record. Lineage: Eukaryota; Metazoa; Chordata; Mammalia; Carnivora; Felidae. The transcript is spliced from 3 exons.